RNAcentral lists this ribosomal RNA (253 nucleotides) under uncultured bacterium. RNAcentral's name for it is "partial 16S ribosomal RNA". It matches the Rfam family "Bacterial small subunit ribosomal RNA", at positions 524 to 776 of the family's 1533-position model. The record is from RNAcentral.
UACGUAGGGUGCGAGCGUUAAUCGGAAUUACUGGGCGUAAAGCGUGCGCAGGCGGCGCCGCAAGUCGCGUGUGAAAUCCCCGAGCUUAACUUGGGAAUUGCGCUCGAAACUACGGUGCUGGAGUGUGGCAGAGGGAGGUGGAAUUCCACGUGUAGCGGUGAAAUGCGUAGAGAUGUGGAGGAACACCGAUGGCGAAGGCAGCCUCCUGGGCCAACACUGACGCUCAUGCACGAAAGCGUGGGGAGCAAACAGG